RNAcentral lists this ribosomal RNA (211 nucleotides) under uncultured bacterium. Its description in RNAcentral is "partial 16S ribosomal RNA". It matches the Rfam family "Bacterial small subunit ribosomal RNA", at positions 128 to 334 of the family's 1533-position model. The record is from RNAcentral.
GCCUGGUAGCGGGGGAUAACUAUUGGAAACGAUAGCUAAUACCGCAUAACAGUAGAUAUCGCAUGAUAGCUGCUUGAAAGGUGCAAAUGCACCACUACCAGAUGGACCUGCGUUGUAUUAGCUAGUUGGUGAGGUAACGGCUCACCAAGGCAACGAUACAUAGCCGACCUGAGAGGGUGAUCGGCCACACUGGGACUGAGACACGGCCCAG